Molecule: ribosomal RNA, 209 nt
Filed under: uncultured bacterium
Lineage: Bacteria
Description: partial 16S ribosomal RNA
Rfam family: Bacterial small subunit ribosomal RNA
Source: RNAcentral
GUUCUCAGUUCGGAUCGGAGUCUGCAACCCGACUCCGUGAAGCUGGAUUCGCUAGUAAUCGCGCAUCAGCCAUGGCGCGGUGAAUACGUCCCCGGGCCUUGUACACACCGCCCGUCAAGCCAUGGGAGCCGGGGGUGCUUGAAGUCCGGGACCGCGAGGACCGGCCUAAGGCGAAACUGGUGACUGGGGCUAAGUCGUAACAAGGUAGC